Molecule: ribosomal RNA, 3112 nt
Filed under: Terfezia boudieri ATCC MYA-4762
Lineage: Eukaryota; Fungi; Ascomycota; Pezizomycetes; Pezizales; Pezizaceae
Description: eukaryotic LSU rRNA
Rfam family: Eukaryotic large subunit ribosomal RNA
Source: RNAcentral
AAGAAUGAGAUGAUAAAGACUUUGACAGCUGAGCAGGAAACCUAUUAGAGUGUCAUGAGGCAAUGUGGUUUUGGACAGCUGAUUGGAGGAUAUGCAGGUAAUAUAGAAAGAAGGCUUUGGAAGGUCUCUUAUUAUGCUAGCAAUAUUUUGAUACAUGUGGAAUAGGGAUGCAUGUUUUAGAUUGAAACUGUCUAGGAAAAAGGUUCUUAUUUUAUUAGUGUUUACCGUUAGGGAGGAUAUUAUUAUGAUAUUAAAAAGUAGGCGAAUACAAUCCUUUUUGAAAGUAUGUUUUAGGGAGAUACAGUUUUUUGUUAGUAAAAUAAGGAAGCAGAGAUUUUUAUUAUCCUAAGUAGCCUUAAUACAAUCUUUUUCUUAAUUUCUCUAAUUAGUGAUUGCCAUCAAGCUCUUGACUCUUUAGUUAUAUAGUAUAUAUUCUUCUACUAGAAAUGAAAUACCUUUAUAGUACUUUAGCAAGGAUGCUGGCAUAAUGGUUGUAAGUGACUCAUUUUGAAAUACAGACUAAGAAGUCUAACAUCUAAGUGAGUAUUUAGGUGUGCAAACUCUUAUACAAAAUGAAAGAAAAUGGAGGUGGAAACUAUAAGGUAUACCAUCGACCGAUCCUAAUGUUCUUGGAUAGAUUUGAGUAGUAGUAUAGCUAUUAGGAUUCGAAAGAUGGUGAAGUAUGCCUGAAUAGGGUGAAGGCAGAGGAAACUCUAGUGAAGGCUCGCAGUAGUUCUAAUAUAUAAAUCGAUCAUUAAAUUUGGUUAUAGGGGCAAAAGACUAAUUGAACUAUCUAGUAGCUAGUUCUAGCCAAAGUUUCCCUCAGGAUAGCAGUAACGAUUAAUAGUUUUAUGAGGUAAAGUGAAUAAUUAGAGGCCUUGGAGUUGAAACAACCUUAACCUAUUCUCAAACUUUAAAUAUGUAAGAAGUCCCUAUUACUUAGUUGAAUGUGGAUAUUGGAAUAUAUAUUACUAGUAGGCUAUUUUUGGUAAGUGGAACUGGUGAUGUGGUAUGAAUCGAAUGUGAGAUUAAGGUGCCAGAAUGCAUGCUCAUUAGAUACCACAAAAGGUAUUAGUUCAUCUAGAUAGCAGGAUAGUAGCCAUGGAAUUUGGAAUCUGCUAAGGAGUAUAUAACAACUUAUCUGCUAAAUGAACUAGUUCUGAAAAUGGAUGGUCAUUAAGUAUGCUAACUAUACCUUGCCGGCAUGGUAGAUAUUAUGCUAUAGUAAGUAGGCCAAUGUAGAGGUCUGUAAUGAAGCUUUGGGAGUGAUCUUAGGUAGAAUAGCCUCUAGUAUAGAUCUUGAUAGUAGUAGUAAAUAUUCAAAUAAAAACUUUGAGGACUAAGUAGGGAAGGGUUAUAUGUAAACAACAGAUGGCCAUGGGUUAGUCGAUCCUAAGAGAUAGGGAAACUCCGUUUUAAAAUGCCUGAUUCAUCAGGUAAUCCCUCGAAAGGGCAGCCGGUUAAUAUUCCGGCACCUGGAUGUGGAUUUUUCGCGGCAACGCAACUGAACCUGGAGACGUCGGCAGAGGGCCCGGGAAGAGUUAUCUUUUCUUCUUAACAGUCUAAUCACCCUGGAAUCGGUUUGUCCGGAGAUAGGGUACUCUGACUGGAAGAGCAUAGUACUUUUGCUGUAUUUAGUAUCCUUUUGACAGCCCUUGAAAAUCUAGGGGAAGGAAUAAUUUUCAUGCCAGGUCAUAUCCACAACUAUAGCAGGUCUCCAAGGUGAAUAGCCUCUAGUUGAUAGAAUAAUGUAGAUAAGGGAAGUCGGCAAAAUAGAUCCGUAACUUCGGGAAAAGGAUUGGCUCUAAGGGUUGGGUGUACAGGGCCUUGGUGCAAAGCACUCGGAGUGGGGAGGGGCUAGACCUUGCGUCCGGACUCUCCUAUGCACUGGGUGUGGCGGGCUUUGGCUGGUUUCGGCCUUCUUGUGCAUGCUUAACAACCAACUUAGAACUAGUAUAGACUAGGGGAAUCUGACUAUUUAAUUAAAAUAUAGUAUUGCGAUGAUCAGAAAGUGAUGUUGAUGCAAUAUGAUUUCUACCCAGUUCUCAAUAUAUCAAAGUGAAGCAAUUAAACCAAGUACUAGUAAAUGGCAGAAGUAACUAUGACUCUCUUCAGGUAGCCAAAUGCCUUGUUAUCUAAUUAGUGAUGCAUAUGAAUAGAUUAAUGAGAUUUCUACUAUCCCUAUCUACAUCUAGUAAAACUAUAGCUAAGGGAAUGGGCUUGGCAGAAUUAGCAGAGAAAGAAGACCCUAUUGAGCUUGACUCUAGUUUGAUAUUUUAAAAAAAUAUAGAAGGUAUAGAAUAGGUAGGAGCUUCGAUGCCAGUGAAAUACCACUACUCUUAUUAUUUUUUUACUUAUUCAAUAAAGUGGAACUGAACUUUACUAUCCAACUUCUAGCAUUAAUGUCCUUUGCAGGUAGAUUCGAGUUGAAGACAUUGUUAGGUAGGGAGUUUAGCUGAGGCAGUACAUCUGUUAAACUAUAAUGUAGGUAUCCUAAGGAAGACUCAUAGAGAACAAAAAUCCUCAGUAGAACAAAAGGGUAAAGAUCCCCUUGAUUUUAAUUUUCAGUAUGAAUACAAACCAUGAAAGUAUAGCCUAUCAAUCCUUUAGUUCUUCGAAGUUUGAGGCUAGAGGUGCCAAAAAGAUUACUACAGGGAUAACUGGCUUGUGGCAGUAAAGGGUUCAUAGUGAUGUUGCUUUUUGAUCCUUCUAUAUUGGCUCUUCCUAUCGUACCGAAGUAGAAUUCGGUAAGCAUUGGAUUGUUUACCCACUAAUAGGGAACGUGAGCUGGGUUUAGACCAUUAUAAGACAGGUUAGUUUUACCCUACUAAUGAAUAUUAUCAUAAUAGUAAUUCAACUUAGUACGAGAGGAACCGUUGAUUCAGAUAAUUGGUUUUUGCGGCUGUCUGACAAGGCAAUGCCGCGAAGCUACCAUCUGCUGGAUAAUGGCUGAACGCCUCUAAGUCAGAAUCCAUGCUAGAACGUGAUGAUUACUUGUCCAGCUUAUUGUAGUUGAAUAUGAAUAGGCCUUUUUGGCCCUAAAUUAUAGUAGGCUAGUAAUUGUAUCUAGUGUUGAAAAGUACUUGAUACCUACUAGUGAAUAGCAAUUUGA